UAUCUCUGUAGAGUCUGCAUAUCAAUAAGCGGAGGAAAAGAAACUAACAAGGAUUCCCCUAGUAACGGCGAGUGAAGCGGGAAGAGCUCAAAUUUGAAAUCUUCAAGGUUUGACCUUGACGAAUUGUAGUUUAAAGAAGUGUUUUCGGUUAGAGGAGUAGUAAAAGUUCUUUGGAAUAGGACAUCAUAGAGGGUGAGAAUCCCGUAUUUGACUAUUCUUUCUAGCUUUGUGAUACACUUUCAAAGAGUCGGAUUGUUUGGGAAUGCAGUCCAAAAUGGGUGGUAAAUUUCAUCUAAAGCUAAAUAUUGGCGAGAGACCGAUAGCGAACAAGUACCGUGAGGGAAAGAUGAAAAGAACUUUGAAAAGAGAGUUAAACAGUACGUGAAAUUGUCAAAAGGGAAGCGUUUGACACCAGUGUUGUUUUUUCCGAAAAUCAAUUAAAAAUUGAUUCAUGCCAGGUUGUAUUGACCUUAUCAGCUUGCAAUUUGGUUUUGGGUCUCUUUUUGAUGCACUUUUCGGUUAACAAGUCAACAUCAAUUUCCUUUGCUGUAAAAAGGUAAGAGGAAGGUGGCUUCAAUUUCGGUUGAAGUGUUUAUAGCCUUUUAUCUCUGCAGUCGGGGAGAUUGAGGUCUGCAGCGUAGAUCCUUCGGGGCUAGAUACAUUUAUGCUAAGUUAUAGCUUUUCAUAGACAACUUGUUGACUAUGUUUAGUCAUGUAGCUUACUCGUAAGUGCUAUUUUACCUACGCUUAGGAUGUUGAGCGCAUGUCUCUCUC
This 774-nucleotide ribosomal RNA is filed under the name uncultured Neocallimastigales. RNAcentral describes it as "partial large subunit ribosomal RNA". It matches the Rfam family "Eukaryotic large subunit ribosomal RNA", at positions 24 to 643 of the family's 3401-position model. The record is from RNAcentral. Lineage: Eukaryota; Fungi; Neocallimastigomycota; Neocallimastigomycetes; Neocallimastigales.